CGAAGUUGAACCCUCGGACACUAUAGAAAAUGUAAAGGCCAAGAUCCAGGAUAAGGAAGAAACUCCUCCUGAUCAGCAGAGGUUGGUCUUUGCUGGUAAGCAGCUGGAAGGUGGCCGUACUUUGUCUGACUACAACAUUCAAAAGGAGUCCACUCUCCAUCUCGUGCUGAGACUUCAUGGUGGCGCUAAGAAAAGGAAGAAGAAAGGCCCUGGGUUCGAUCCCCAGCUCCAAAAAAAAAAAAGAAAAGAAAAAAAAAAGAAAAGGAAGAAGAAGUCUUACACCACCCCAAAGAAGAACAAGCAUAAGAGAAAGAAGGUCAAGUUGGCUGUGCUGAAAUACUAUAAGGUGGAUGAAAAUGGCAAAAUCAGCCGACUUCGUCGGGAAUGUCCUUCUGAUGAAUGUGGUGCUGGAGUUUUCAUGGGUAGCCACUUUGACAGGCAUUACUGUGGCAAGUGUUGUCUGACUUACUGCUUCAACAAACCAUAAGACAAGUAGUUGUGUAUGAGUUAAUAAAAAGAAGGAACUGAUGUUUAAAAAAACAAAAAACAAAA
This 552-nucleotide long non-coding RNA is filed under the name Rattus norvegicus (Norway rat). Its description in RNAcentral is "long non-coding RNA NONRATT003731". The record is from RNAcentral. Lineage: Eukaryota; Metazoa; Chordata; Mammalia; Rodentia; Muridae.